Molecule: unclassified non-coding RNA, 390 nt
Filed under: soil metagenome
Description: partial contains 5.8S ribosomal RNA, internal transcribed spacer 2, and large subunit ribosomal RNA
Rfam family: 5.8S ribosomal RNA (bases 1-122)
Source: RNAcentral
GAUGAAGAACGCAGUGAAAUGCGAUACUUGGUGUGAAUUGCAGAAUCCCGUGAACCAUCGAGUCUUUGAACGCAAGUUGCGCCCGAAGCCAUUAGGCCGAGGGCACGCCUGCCUGGGCGUCACACGUCGUUGCCCCCCCAUCUACUCCUUCGGGAUUGCGGGGGGCGGAUGAUGGCCUCCCGUGCGCCUCGCCGCGCGGUUGGCAUAAAUGCCAAGUCCUCGGCGACGCACGCCACGACAAUCGGUGGUUGCGAAACCUCGGUUGCCCGUCGUGUGCGGUCGUCGCGCAUCGAGGGCUCGAAAAAAUUGCCGGGUUCCGGCUCGGCUUUCAACGCGACCCCAGGUCAGGCGGGGUUACCCGCUGAAUUUAAGCAUAUAAUAAGCGGAGGA